This 362-nucleotide long non-coding RNA is filed under the name Ananas comosus (pineapple). Its description in RNAcentral is "long non-coding RNA (ACOM_LNC037180)". The record is from RNAcentral. Lineage: Eukaryota; Viridiplantae; Streptophyta; Magnoliopsida; Poales; Bromeliaceae.
ACAACCAAAACUCACAUACCCUCGGCACAAUCUGAUGCAAAAACAGCCAACUGGGUCCACCGUCACCCUCGACGGCACACGACAGUCCGGAACAGUCUAUACACGGCUGUAAAAAUAAGCUCGACAUCUCAACACGAGCGUAACAGUAUUCUACACUAUUCUGGGUAUCCACCACCCAAAAACUACGGCGAUACAAAUAAAUUACGGCUCUUAGAGCUAAAUCUGGUAGUUUCAGAAGAUGACGGUGUAUAAUCGAUAGUUUUCUCCUAAGUCAAAUCCAAAUCCAACAUGUAUAAUUUUUUUAAACUACCAACUAUGCUCCAAAUUCAAAUUUCAAAGAAUAUCCAAUUCUACGAAUUUGA